Long non-coding RNA from Pteronotus mesoamericanus, 179 nucleotides. RefSeq lists it as uncharacterized. NCBI's taxonomy places the organism in Eukaryota, Metazoa, Chordata, Mammalia, Chiroptera, Mormoopidae. The transcript has 3 exons. The record is from RefSeq and is a predicted model, not a curated record.
AGAGGCGCCCGCCCGAGGCCGCCUGCCCGCACCCAGGCUGGACGGCGGCCCGGGGCCACCGAGCGCAGGGAUCCCCCCGAGCGGUGGAAGGAGUGCAGCCCAGCCCUGCCCGAGAUGUAUUGCAGGGGAGUCUGGACAUUUCAACCACACCGAGAGUCCCUAGAAGAUGUGAGCCGGAG